This 117-nucleotide microRNA precursor is filed under the name Caenorhabditis remanei. RNAcentral's name for it is "mir-66". Lineage: Eukaryota; Metazoa; Nematoda; Chromadorea; Rhabditida; Rhabditidae. The record is from RNAcentral.
UCCCACCGGAAAAGAACAAAAAGCCAUGCAUGACACAGAUUAAAGGAUGUGAUACACCCCGAGUAGAUCACACCUUUAGCCGUGUCAGACAUGGCUUGUUCUGAGUACGGUAGGUGG